UAGGGAAUCUUCCGCAAUGGGCGAAAGCCUGACGGAGCAACGCCGCGUGAGUGAUGAAGGUCUUCGGAUCGUAAAACUCUGUUAUUAGGGAAGAACAAAUGUGUAAGUAACUAUGCACGUCUUGACGGUACCUAAUCAGAAAGCCACGGCUAACUACGUGCCAGCAGCCGCGGUAAUACGUAGGUGGCAAGCGUUAUCCGGAAUUAUUGGGCGUAAAGCGCGCGUAGGCGGCUUUUUAAGUCUGAUGUGAAAGCCCACGGCUCAACCGUGGAGGGUCAUUGGAAACUGGAAAACUAGAGUGCAGAAGAGGAAAGUGGAAUUCCAUGUGUAGCGGUGAAAUGCGCAGAGAUAUGGAGGAACACCAGUGGCGAAGGCGACUUUCUGGUCUGUAACUGACGCUGAUGUGCGAAAGCGUGGGGAGCAAACAGG
RNAcentral lists this ribosomal RNA (429 nucleotides) under Actinomycetes bacterium. RNAcentral's name for it is "Actinobacteria bacterium partial 16S ribosomal RNA". It matches the Rfam family "Bacterial small subunit ribosomal RNA", at positions 355 to 776 of the family's 1533-position model. Lineage: Bacteria; Bacillati; Actinomycetota; Actinomycetes. The record is from RNAcentral.